RNAcentral lists this transfer-messenger RNA (329 nucleotides) under Salipiger sp. PrR003. Its description in RNAcentral is "Yangia sp. PrR003 transfer-messenger RNA". It matches the Rfam family "Alphaproteobacteria transfer-messenger RNA". Rfam says of the family: Bacterial tmRNA, also known as 10Sa RNA or SsrA, is named for its dual tRNA and mRNA-like properties. Its role is to liberate the mRNA from a stalled ribosome. The record is from RNAcentral. Lineage: Bacteria; Pseudomonadati; Pseudomonadota; Alphaproteobacteria; Rhodobacterales; Roseobacteraceae.
CCCGUUGACGAAUUUGAAGAAUAGAGCUAUGUUCUCCUUGCGCUUGUGGAAGAGAUGCGAAGACAUUCAAGACCCCGGGGCGGUACCGGGCGGCUCCACCAAGGGCAGUCUGUUCAAAGCGGCGGAAACGCCGGAUGAACUCGACACAGACUGUCGUUGAUGGGGCCGAAAUAGGAUCGAUUGGUGUCGUAGUUGAUUGGAGAGCGUCGGGUGGGUUCCGUUAUUGAUCCGCUGCAAAUAACUGCAAACUUCAACUUCGCGCCGAAAGGUGCAAUGGCAGCCUGACUGCCUGCGCUCGCAGGGGAGCGUCGAAACAGAAGGAAGACCUU